GCCCCAGUAGCUUAACAACACAAAGCAUUGGCCUUGUAAACCAAAGACGGGAAUUCCCCCUGGGACA
This 67-nucleotide transfer RNA is filed under the name Calumma parsonii. Its description in RNAcentral is "tRNA-Thr". It matches the Rfam family "tRNA". From Rfam's summary of the family: Transfer RNA (tRNA) molecules are approximately 80 nucleotides in length. Their secondary structure includes four short double-helical elements and three loops (D, anti-codon, and T loops). Further hydrogen bonds mediate the characteristic L-shaped molecular structure. tRNAs have two regions of fundamental functional importance: the anti-codon, which is responsible for specific mRNA codon recognition, and the 3' end, to which the tRNAs corresponding amino acid is attached (by aminoacyl-tRNA synthetases). tRNAs cope with the degeneracy of the genetic code in two manners: having more than one tRNA (with a specific anti-codon) for a particular amino acid; and 'wobble' base-pairing, i.e. permitting non-standard base-pairing at the 3rd anti-codon position. The record is from RNAcentral. Lineage: Eukaryota; Metazoa; Chordata; Lepidosauria; Squamata; Chamaeleonidae.